UACAGAGGUCCCAAGCGUUGUUCGGAUUCAUUGGGCGUAAAGGGUGCGUAGGCGGCGCGGUAAGUCGGGUGUGAAAUCUCGGGGCUUAACUCCGAAACUGCAUUCGAUACUGCCGUGCUUGAGGACUGGAGAGGAGACUGGAAUUUACGGUGUAGCGGUGAAAUGCGUAGAUAUCGUAAGGAAGACCAGUGGCGAAGGCGGGUCUCUGGACAGUUCCUGACGCUGAGAAGCGAAAGCAUGGGGAGCGAACAGG
RNAcentral lists this ribosomal RNA (253 nucleotides) under uncultured bacterium. RNAcentral's name for it is "partial 16S ribosomal RNA". It matches the Rfam family "Bacterial small subunit ribosomal RNA", at positions 524 to 776 of the family's 1533-position model. The record is from RNAcentral.